AAUGAACGCUGGCGGCAUGCCUAACACAUGCAAGUCGAACGAAGGCUUCGGCCUUAGUGGCGCACGGGUGCGUAACGCGUGGGAAUCUGCCCUCAGGUUCGGAAUAACAGCGAGAAAUUGCUGCUAAUACCGGAUGAUAUCGCGAGAUCAAAGAUUUAUCGCCUGAGGAUGAGCCCGCGUAGGAUUAGCUAGUUGGUGUGGUAAAGGCGCACCAAGGCGACGAUCCUUAGCUGGUCUGAGAGGAUGAUCAGCCACACUGGGACUGAGACACGGCCCAGACUCCUACGGGAGGCAGCAGUGGGGAAUAUUGGACAAUGGGCGAAAGCCUGAUCCAGCAAUGCCGCGUGAGUGAUGAAGGCCUUAGGGUUGUAAAGCUCUUUUACCCGGGAUGAUAAUGACAGUAACCGGGAGAAUAAGCUCCGGCUAAC
This 428-nucleotide ribosomal RNA is filed under the name Sphingomonas sp. oral taxon 003. RNAcentral's name for it is "bacterial SSU rRNA". It matches the Rfam family "Bacterial small subunit ribosomal RNA", at positions 29 to 501 of the family's 1533-position model. Lineage: Bacteria; Pseudomonadati; Pseudomonadota; Alphaproteobacteria; Sphingomonadales; Sphingomonadaceae. The record is from RNAcentral.